AAUUAUGGGCCCAGUUUUUGAGAUCUAAAUGAAGUUCGAAAAUCGCCGUUAGGGGCGCUUGUGAUGAUUGGGAUACUAGAAAUACACAGCUUCUUAUGGCAAGAAUAACUAUUUUGUUAUAAAUUAUAGAGCCAAGUUAAUAUUUGGGCAUAUUUUUACCAGAGUUAGCUUUUAGAAACGUGGUUUUUCUAAUUGAGCAAUGUGCGUGGCUAAAAUUGUGAAUACAAAACCUUAAAUUUGAGUUUGAAAAUGCAUACACGACCGAAGAAACAUAUAAGCUGCUAAAAUAAAUCUUCCCUAGAACUGUUGUACAAAAAAGAUAGAAGUUCCAGCAACAAAUUUAUCACCAGUUCAACCUUUGAUUUGAUGUAAACAGUAAUUGUUUCUUGAUGAGAAAUGCGAAUGAAAUAGUUUAUGGUGUGAUUGUGUUAGUGUUUUAUUAAUAGUUUUGUUGAUGCAGUUUAAAGGUUCAUAGUUUUUCAUUAAAACAUUUGAAAUUGACAUGUUUACAUGCAGUUUAGUGUGAUACCAUUUUAAUAAACAUUAAAAUCUUUCGAACUA
Molecule: long non-coding RNA, 561 nt
Organism: Sitophilus oryzae (rice weevil)
Lineage: Eukaryota; Metazoa; Arthropoda; Insecta; Coleoptera; Curculionidae
Exons: 2
Source: RefSeq, a predicted model, not a curated record